AACGAGCAUCGGGACUGGCAUGAUGAGCAUACACGGAUGUAUCACAAUCAACACGCUUGGCAUCAAGACUUGGUUAAAUGGCAUCAGGUUUUCUACAACGAAAUGUCCGGCUUUAUGGAUGAUUGCCGUGAAAAUCCUGGGAUUAUGGACAGCUUUAGAAGCAUUGAAGUUCAGAAUCGAUUUAGGCGAUACUCCUUCAUGGACCAAAAUCC
Molecule: long non-coding RNA, 212 nt
Filed under: Lathyrus oleraceus (garden pea)
Lineage: Eukaryota; Viridiplantae; Streptophyta; Magnoliopsida; Fabales; Fabaceae
Description: Pisum sativum (pea) long non-coding RNA (PSAT_LNC004604)
Source: RNAcentral